This 242-nucleotide ribosomal RNA is filed under the name Clostridioides difficile. Its description in RNAcentral is "partial 23S ribosomal RNA". It matches the Rfam family "Bacterial large subunit ribosomal RNA", at positions 2625 to 2869 of the family's 2925-position model. Lineage: Bacteria; Bacillati; Bacillota; Clostridia; Peptostreptococcales; Peptostreptococcaceae. The record is from RNAcentral.
GACAGUUCGGUCCCUAUCCGUCGCAGGCGUAGGAAAUUUGAGAAGACCUGUCCUUAGUACGAGAGGACCGGGAUGGACGUACCUCUGGUGUACCAGUUGUCCUGCCAAGGGCAUAGCUGGGUAGCUAUGUACGGAAUGGAUAAGCGCUGAAAGCAUCUAAGCGCGAAGCCAACUUCAAGAUAAGAUUUCCCACCGCAAGGGUAAGACCCCAGAAAGACUAUCUGGUUGAUAGGUCGAAGGUG